RNAcentral lists this unclassified non-coding RNA (220 nucleotides) under uncultured fungus. Its description in RNAcentral is "sequence contains ITS1". The record is from RNAcentral. Lineage: Eukaryota; Fungi.
UUAACUAUUAUAUAGUACUCAGACAUCACUAAUAAAAGAGUUUGGGUCCUCUGGCAGGCGCAAUCAGCCGGAGCCGACGCUUAAAAGACGGCCCGCCAAAGCAACAAAGGUAAAAAUAAACAUAGGGUGUAUGAUAUCUCCCUUUCCAAUCCGUUGCGUUUUACGGCAAAGGAUCGGUCCGGUUACAUUAAUGAUCCUUCCGCAGGUUCACCUACGGAAA